UGGCUCGGGGGGCGAGGAAGGGCGUGGCAAGCUGCGAUAAGCCCCGGGGAGGCGCAUGCGGCCUUAGAUCCGGGGAUCCCCGAAUGGGACCUCCUGGCAGGACUCGAUAAGGGUCCUGCCGCUCCCGGGUCUCAAACCUGGGAGCGCGAACCCCCCGAACGGAAACAUCCAAGUAGGGGGAGGAGAAGAAAUCAAAUCGAGAUUCCCUGAGUACCGGCGAGGGAAAGGGGAAGAGCCCAAACCGAAUCCCGCGCGGUGACGCGCGGGAGAUGUAGCGUGAAUGGUCGGUGGCUGCGCCUCGAGCGCAGCGCAACUCUCCCCUCUAGCCGAAGUGGCCUGGAAUGGCCCGCCAUAGAGGGUGACAGCCCCGUAGGUUAAAGGGGGGAGAGUGCGCGCCACCGGCCCGAGUACCUAGCCUUGGAUUUGGCUAGGGAAGUCGGGGGCCAACGGCCUCCAAGGCUAAAUACCUCCCGAGACCGAUAGCGAACUAAGUACCGUGAGGGAAAGCUGAAAAGCACCCCGGAAGGGGGGUGAAAAGAGCCUGAAACCAGGCGGCUACACCGCGCGCUGCUCGAAAGGGCCGUGCCGGUCCGCGCCCCGCAAGGGGCGCGGGUCGCCGCGGCCCGGGGUGGCGCGUUCCGUUUUGAACAACGGGCCAGGGAGUUCACCUUCACGGCGAGUUUAAGGGCUGCAAGCCCGAAGGCGAAGGGAAACCGAAUUCCCGCAGCUCCCUCCGGGAGCGAGGGGAAGGGUCCCAAAAGGGCCUCUUAGCCGUGGGGGUGAGACUAGAAACCGGGCGAUCUAGCCCUGGGCAGGGCGAAGCCGGGGGAAACCCCGGUGGAGGCCCGCAGGGGUGCUGACGUGCAAUUCGCGUCCUCUGACCUGGGGCUAGGGGCCAAAAGCCAAUCUAGCCCGGUGAUAGCUAGUUCCCGCCGAAGCAGAUCGGAGUCUGGCCCGGGCUGAGGUCGCCGGCGCUGUAGAGCACCGAUGGGAAGGCAAGGGGCGUUAAGCCCCACCUUCCUUUCGAACUCCGAAGGUGCCGGCUCCUGAGAAGCCCGGAGACGGGCCUGUGAGGGGUAAGCCCCACAGCCGAGAUGGGAACAACCAGGACCGGGGUUAAGGCCCCUAAGUGCCGGCUAAGUGUCAAACUGAAGGGCGUCUCCCCGCUAAGACAGCAGGGAGGUAGGCUUAGAAGCAGCCAUCCUUUAAAGAGUGCGUAACAGCUCACCUGCCGAGCGGGGGGGCCCCGAAAAUGGACGGGGCUAAGCCGGCCGCCGAGACCCCGGGUCACCCUCCUGUGGAGGGUGGGCGGUAGGCGGGCGCGGAGGUUGGGCGGAAGCGGGGCCGUGAGGUCCCGUGGACCGACCUCCGUUGCAGAUCCUGGCGGUAGUAACAGCCUAGCCGGGUGAAAACCCCGGCCGCCGAAAGGGCCAGGUUUUCUUGGCGACGCGCCGUCGGCCAAGAGUUAGCCGGUCCUAAGGACACCCCGAAAGGGCGUGUCCGAAUGGGAAGCCGGUUAAUAUUCCGGCGCCACGGAAUCCUCGUGCACCCCUCGUGGGUGCGCAUCCCAUCCCGUCGCCUCCGGAUAGGGGGAGUGGGGUCGCCGCCCCAUCUAACCGUUCGAGCCCGGGGGAGUGCCGUAAUGGCGAGAACCCGGGCGAGGACGGUAUGGGCCCGCCUUGUGCGGGUUCCCUCGAGUUCGGGGGACCGUGAAAGCGGGAUGGGAGAGAGGGUUCCGUGACCGUACCGAGAACCGACACUGGUGCCCUGGCUGAGCAGGCUAAGGCGUGUCGGGGGCACGGGAGGCGAGGGAACUCGGCAAAUUGGCCCCGUAACCUCGGGAGAAGGGGUGCCUGCGGUCUUGGGCGAAAGCCUGGGAUCGCAGGUCGCAGUGACAAGGGGGUCCCGACUGUUUAAUAAAAACAUAGGUGGCUGCUAGCCCGAAAGGGUUAGUACAGCCGCUGAAUCCUGGCCAGUGGGGGCACCUGAAACCCGGGUUCAACCGGGCUAAGGGUCCCUAAACGCCGGGAGUAACUCUGACUCUCUUAAGGUAGCCAAAUGCCUUGUCGGGUAAGUUCCGACGCGCAUGAAUGG
Molecule: ribosomal RNA, 2094 nt
Filed under: hot springs metagenome
Description: bacterial LSU rRNA
Rfam family: Archaeal large subunit ribosomal RNA
Source: RNAcentral